This 27-nucleotide small RNA is filed under the name Bombyx mori (domestic silkworm). Its description in RNAcentral is "ovarian small RNA-13479". The record is from RNAcentral. Lineage: Eukaryota; Metazoa; Arthropoda; Insecta; Lepidoptera; Bombycidae.
CCACAAGCAAAUUAGGACAGGAUUCGU